This 24-nucleotide non-coding RNA is filed under the name Arabidopsis thaliana (thale cress). The record is from RNAcentral. Lineage: Eukaryota; Viridiplantae; Streptophyta; Magnoliopsida; Brassicales; Brassicaceae.
UUACCUCAUUGGGUUAUGGGUACC